GGCUGUACCUGGAAGUGGAAGCGGGUGGGUGACACUAUAAGGAAGACAAGAAAAAUGGAGACAUGGGUCCAGGAGAAGAAGAGGAAGGCAGCAAGGGAACCAUUUAAAAAUCUCUUCCCUUGGCCCACUCCAGCCUUGGUACACCCCUGAUUUUUAACACUCAAUACUCAGACCAAUAAUUCAAAAAUGACAUCAUGCCCAAGAGAAGCAGAAGAUCUUUUUCAAAUUCAAAUUUGCUGUGAUUCAGAUUUACUAGGGCUGAAAACAGCUGUGUUUCUCAAACUUCUGACAACUGAAGCACACAUUUUUCAGAAUUAAAAUUGGAGACACAAUUCACUUUUAUAUUCACAGAUGACUUACUUUUAAAGUGUGUAAAGUUAAAGAUUAUCUAUUUCCAGAUGAGACCUAUGUUUCUGCAUGAGUUAUAGAACUGGACUAACUGGAAGGAAGCAACACCAAAGCAGUGAAUAAUGCAGAGAUAAAUUUUUAUUAUCACUAUGUUUUCAAUUUUGUCAAAAUUUUUAAACUAAUUCUAAUUUCAGCCUAUUUUAAUUAUAUACAAUCAGUUUAUUGUUAUAUAACUGUAAUCUUUCUCUUCUGUUUUGGCUUGUGGCUGUAACAUUAAAGAACUUGAACAUUGGACAGUUUUCUAUGUUGUUGGCUACUUUGGUCUUAUAGACACCUAUAAUUGAUUGAUUGAUUGAUUGAUUU
Molecule: long non-coding RNA, 711 nt
Organism: Hemicordylus capensis (graceful crag lizard)
Lineage: Eukaryota; Metazoa; Chordata; Lepidosauria; Squamata; Cordylidae
Exons: 4
Source: RefSeq, a predicted model, not a curated record